GCUGGCGUAGCUCAGUGGUAGAGCGCGGGAUUUGUAAUCCCGCGGUCGUGGGUUCGACCCCCACCGCCAGCU
Molecule: transfer RNA, 72 nt
Filed under: Acidobacteriota bacterium
Lineage: Bacteria; Pseudomonadati; Acidobacteriota
Also listed under: 1 other name
Description: Acidobacteria bacterium tRNA-Thr
Rfam family: tRNA
About the family: Transfer RNA (tRNA) molecules are approximately 80 nucleotides in length. Their secondary structure includes four short double-helical elements and three loops (D, anti-codon, and T loops).
Source: RNAcentral